ACGUAGGGGACGAGCGUUGUCCGGAAUUACUGGGCGUAAAGGGCGCGCAGGCUGUUUGACAAGUCAGCUGUUAAAUAUGGGGGCUUAACCCUUAUAUGCGGUUGAAACUAUCAGACUGGAGUGCUGUAGAGGCAAGUGGAAUUCCCAGUGAAGCGGUGAAGUGCGUAGAUAUUGGGAAGAGCGCCGGUGGAGCAGGCGAAUUACUGGGCAUUAACUGACGCUGAGGCGCGAUAGCCAGGGGAGAUAGCGG
This 250-nucleotide ribosomal RNA is filed under the name uncultured prokaryote. RNAcentral's name for it is "partial 16S rRNA". It matches the Rfam family "Bacterial small subunit ribosomal RNA", at positions 525 to 775 of the family's 1533-position model. The record is from RNAcentral.